RNAcentral lists this ribosomal RNA (525 nucleotides) under Rhodobacter sp. TJ_12. RNAcentral describes it as "partial 23S ribosomal RNA". It matches the Rfam family "Bacterial large subunit ribosomal RNA", at positions 1 to 501 of the family's 2925-position model. Lineage: Bacteria; Pseudomonadati; Pseudomonadota; Alphaproteobacteria; Rhodobacterales. The record is from RNAcentral.
GAUCAGAUCAAGCGCGAAAAGGGCGUUUGGUGGAUGCCUAGGCAGCAAGAGGCGAUGAAGGACGUGAUACCCUGCGUUAAGCCAUGGGGAGCCGGGAAUGGGCUUCGAUCCAUGGAUGUCCGAAUGGGGAAACCCACCUGAUUGUUCGUUGUUGUCCUACCGCUUCGCUACUUGAGGACUUGUCCGACAGUAGCAAGCGCGGGAUCAUCAAUGGGCAAAGACAGGUAUCAUUACCCUGAAUACAUAGGGGUUUUGAAGCGAACCCGGGGAACUGAAACAUCUAAGUACCCGGAGGAAAGGAAAUCAACAGAGACUCCGCUAGUAGUGGCGAGCGAACGCGGACCAGCCGAUCUCCGAAGAGUGACUGGAAUGGCCUGGAAAGGCCAGCCACAGCGGGUGACAGCCCCGUACAGGAAGCUCCAGGAGACAUAUCAAGUAGGGCGGGACACGUGAAAUCCUGUCUGAAGAUCGGGGGACCACCCCCGAAGGCUAAGUACUCCUUGCUGACCGAUAGCGAACCAGUAC